This 345-nucleotide unclassified non-coding RNA is filed under the name soil metagenome. Its description in RNAcentral is "partial contains 5.8S ribosomal RNA, internal transcribed spacer 2, and large subunit ribosomal RNA". The stretch from base 1 to 121 matches the Rfam family "5.8S ribosomal RNA", at positions 35 to 154 of the family's 154-position model. The record is from RNAcentral.
GAUGAAGAACGUAGCGAAAUGCGAUAAGUAAUGCGAAUUGCAGAAUUUCCGUGAGUCAUCGAAUCUUUGAACGCACAUUGCGCCCACUGGUAUUCCGGUGGGCAUGCCUGUUCGAGCGUCAUUAUCCUCCCUCAAACCCCGGGUUUGGUGUUGGACCCAAGUUGUGUGAACAACUGGUCUCAAAGACAAUGACGGCGUCCGUGGGACCCUCGGUCCAACGAGCUUUUAGGAGCACGCAUCGAGUUGCAAGGACCUUCCGGGCCGGUCUCCUUUACCAUUUUACAAGGUUGACCUCGGAUCAGGUAGGAAUACCCGCUGAACUUAAGCAUAUCAAUAAGCGGAGGA